This 614-nucleotide ribosomal RNA is filed under the name alpha proteobacterium IMCC10402. RNAcentral's name for it is "bacterial SSU rRNA". It matches the Rfam family "Bacterial small subunit ribosomal RNA", at positions 60 to 720 of the family's 1533-position model. The record is from RNAcentral. Lineage: Bacteria; Pseudomonadati; Pseudomonadota; Alphaproteobacteria.
AGUCGUAACAAAGUAGCCAUACUUAGUGGCAGACGGGUGAGUAACAUGUAGGUAUCUGCCCUUUGGCCUGGAAUAACACGAGGAAACUUGUGCUAAUACCGGAUAAGUCUUUACGGAGAAAGCUUUAUGCACCAUUGGAUGAGCCUGCACUUGAUUAGUUUGUUGGUGGGGUAAUGGCCUACCAAGACUGUGAUCAAUAGCUGAUUUGAGAGGAUGAUCAGCCACAUUGGGACUGAGACACGGCCCAAACUCCUACGGGAGGCAGCAGUGGGGAAUCUUGCACAAUGGAGGAAACUCUGAUGCACCGAUGCCGCGUGAGUGAAGAAGGCCCUUGGGUUGUAAAGCUCUUUCGUCGGGGAAGAAAAUGACUGUACCCGAAUAAGAAGGUCCGGCUAAUUCGUGCCAGCAGCCGCGGUAAUACGAAGGGACCUAGCGUAGUUCGGAAUUACUGGGCUUAAAGAGUUCGUAGGUGGUUGAAAAAGUUAGUGGUGAAAUCCCAGAGCUUAACUCUGGAACUGCCAUUAAAACUUUUCAGCUAGAGUAUGAUAGAGGAAAGCAGAAUUUCUAGUGUAGAGGUGAAAUUCGUAGAUAUUAGAAAGAAUACCAAUUGGAAG